This 256-nucleotide ribosomal RNA is filed under the name uncultured bacterium. RNAcentral's name for it is "partial 16S ribosomal RNA". It matches the Rfam family "Bacterial small subunit ribosomal RNA", at positions 99 to 353 of the family's 1533-position model. The record is from RNAcentral.
CGCACGGGUGAGUAACACGUAUCCAACCUGCCGUCUACUCUUGGACAGCCUUCUGAAAGGAAGAUUAAUACAAGAUGGCAUCAUGAGUCCGCAUGUUCACAUGAUUAAAGGUAUUCCGGUAGACGAUGGGGAUGCGUUCCAUUAGAUAGUAGGCGGGGUAACGGCCCACCUAGUCUUCGAUGGAUAGGGGUUCUGAGAGGAAGGUCCCCCACAUUGGAACUGAGACACGGUCCAAACUCCUACGGGAGGCAGCAUG